Colossoma macropomum (tambaqui) is the source of this 495-nucleotide long non-coding RNA. RefSeq lists it as uncharacterized. The transcript is spliced from 3 exons. The record is from RefSeq and is a predicted model, not a curated record. NCBI's taxonomy places the organism in Eukaryota, Metazoa, Chordata, Actinopteri, Characiformes, Serrasalmidae.
ACAAUACAGAACAACCCAAUAAACAUAGCAUAUUUACACAGAUCAAUCUAAAAAGCACUGUAAAAAACUGCCUGUUUCAUUGUAAGGGACUGGGAAAUGGUUGUAUAAGACUGAUUUACCUUUUUAAGUACACAAAAUCAAACAACCAUUGUAAGUGGACCAAUGUAGGAGGCCCUUUAAAGUGUCAGAGCAGCAAAGUCUUAGGCUACCAAAAAGCUGCCUGUAUAGUUCAAUUUGCUCAUUUGCCCACUGUAGUGGUGACAGUAACAACAACAACAACAAUAAUAAUAUCUCUAUUUAUAGUGUACUUUUCAUACCGGUGGCAGCUCAAAGUGCUUCAAGGACAGACCCCCACGAGUGGAUAAAUCUGAUGACUGAGAAUGAGUUCAAGGAGUAUUCACAGAGAACUCAGGCAAAACUUGGUGAAGGAGGCGUCUUCUGAGGAUGGCCUUCACAGAAGAGUAGAGGCUGUUACUGCAGCAAAGGAGGACAAAC